RNAcentral lists this long non-coding RNA (663 nucleotides) under Homo sapiens (human). RNAcentral's name for it is "non-protein coding lnc-RBAK-RBAKDN-2:21". Lineage: Eukaryota; Metazoa; Chordata; Mammalia; Primates; Hominidae. The record is from RNAcentral.
GUCGCCGAACCCGCCUGGCUAGCCGGCGAGUUGAGUGGCGACUCUUUUGAAACAGAUGGUCACCAUGUUUAGAUAUUAGCAGUCCCGUAUGUGCAUGUCUGCAUUUGAAAAUGGAAGAGGGAAACAACAAUGAAGAGGUAAUUCACUUGAACAACUUUCACUGCCAUCGGGGACAAGGAGUGCCUUCUCUAGAACUGCUAGCAUGUCAGAUCAGCUCAAGCAUGAGGUCAUAUGAAGACGUGGGCAGACUGAAGUCCGACAGGCUUCCCCACUGCUUUUGCCCCAGGGUGCAGAUAUUAGAACAGAGGCUACCACUUGUUUCUGUAGAAGAAAAACUUUGUCCUUCAUUUCCUGUGCCUCCAAAUGUCACUUAACCUCCAGAAGAGUUCUGUUGACUUUGUAAUUUUCUUCUGGAAAACCCAGAUUAUCCAAAGAGAGAAGACAGAAUCAUUAUAAAUCCCAGUAGCAGUCUGCUGGCCAGCCAAGAUGAGACAAAGUUGCCUAAAAUAAGACUUUUUUGACUAUUCUAAAUUGACUCCUCUUGACCAGCACUGCUUCAUCCAAGCUGCUGACCUCCUCAUGGCCGACUUCAAAGUGCUCAGUAGUCAGGACAUCAUGUGGGCCCUGCACGAGCUCAAAGGACACUAUGCAAUCACCCGAAAG